RNAcentral lists this transfer RNA (65 nucleotides) under Appias albina (white albatross butterfly). Its description in RNAcentral is "tRNA-His". Lineage: Eukaryota; Metazoa; Arthropoda; Insecta; Lepidoptera; Pieridae. The record is from RNAcentral.
ACUUAAAUAAUUUAAAUAAAAUAUUGAUUUGUGGAGUCAAAUAUAUGGUUUUACCAUUUUAGGUC